Long non-coding RNA from Paramacrobiotus metropolitanus, 960 nucleotides. RefSeq lists it as uncharacterized. The record is from RefSeq and is a predicted model, not a curated record. Lineage: Eukaryota; Metazoa; Tardigrada; Eutardigrada; Parachela; Macrobiotidae. The transcript is spliced from 2 exons.
CGUAAUUAGUCAUCACUUCUUGCAAAUGGCAGAUCGGAUGAGACGACUGAUGACGGAUAAGCGCGGCUUAACCGAAUUCCAUCCUGCACUUGACCUUUAUCCCGCCCCGUUUUCCUAUGGCCAUCAAAGGCGGCUUAAAAGACUGAUAGGGAUCGUUGCGACGCUCUUCAGUAUUCACUUUGUAUGCACUAAUCAAAACGUACUACUCGUACGCGUAGUGCAUUAAUUUUCUUUGCUCCAGCGUUUUUAUAUAACGGCCAUUCUUUCGGUACGACUUACGAGUAGCUGCCACGUCCAAAAGUCAAAAUCACGCGCCAAGUUUAAUCUCCUUUAAUUUCCUCAUUCUAUUUUUCUCGUUGGAAUCUUCCAUCCGGAACGCUAUUAUGGAGAAGCUGAUUUUCUGGUUCUUGUGGGUGGGAUGGUGUUGUUAGGCAGCUGGACCGCGGACGCUUGGGGCAACAAGCACUGCACAUGGCACGGAACGGCCCCUUGUAAGUGCAUCCCGCGCACGCGUAGACAAAUGCUUAAUUUAAAAGGUCACUGAUUGUGUGUGUCUGUGUGUAGCUGCAUGGCGUCGUGUCCGAGCGGGAAGAAGAAGGUGCCCGGCACGGAGUCCAAGUGCGGCCCCAACAGCAUCGCCUGCUGCGUCACCGGCCAGAAGCUGGUCUGCUGCCCCAAGGCCUGGGAGGGCAACGCCGCCAACGCCAUCGCCAUCGCCAAGACGUAAUUACGCCCUUUUAACAACCUGCUGUGGAAACGCAAAUCUCCGAAAAUUACUAUACAUACUCUAGUUUGCUGCGAAAUAGACGGCUUUUUUUGCCAAUACUGCUGUGUUUUGAUUACUCGCUUCGUGAUCGAUCAUGACCUUUUAACUUGCACAGAGUAGUUGAUGCUUGGAUAAUCAGCAUUAUUGUUGUUUAUAUUACCAGUGUGAGAUUCAAUUAAAAAUGACCUCGCCGA